Acanthosepion pharaonis is the source of this 96-nucleotide non-coding RNA. Lineage: Eukaryota; Metazoa; Mollusca; Cephalopoda; Sepiida; Sepiidae. The record is from the annotation of a GenBank genome assembly.
ACGUUGAAACACCGGUUCUCGUACGAUCACCGAAGUUAAGCAACGUCUAGCUUGGCCAGUACCUAGAUAAGUGACCACUUGGGAAUACCAGGCGCU